This 513-nucleotide ribosomal RNA is filed under the name uncultured bacterium. Its description in RNAcentral is "partial 16S ribosomal RNA". It matches the Rfam family "Bacterial small subunit ribosomal RNA", at positions 355 to 861 of the family's 1533-position model. The record is from RNAcentral.
UGGGGAAUUUUGGACAAUGGGGGAAACCCUGAUCCAGCCAUCCCGCGUGUGCGAUGAAGGCCUUCGGGUUGUAAAGCACUUUUGGCAGGAAAGAAACGUCGCGGGUUAAUACCCCGCGAAACUGACGGUACCUGCAGAAUAAGCACCGGCUAACUACGUGCCAGCAGCCGCGGUAAUACGUAGGGUGCAAGCGUUAAUCGGAAUUACUGGGCGUAAAGCGUGCGCAGGCGGUUCGGAAAGAAAGAUGUGAAAUCCCAGAGCUUAACUUUGGAACUGCAUUUUUAACUACCGGGCUAGAGUGUGUCAGAGGGAGGUGGAAUUCCGCGUGUAGCAGUGAAAUGCGUAGAUAUGCGGAGGAACACCGAUGGCGAAGGCAGCCUCCUGGGAUAACACUGACGCUCAUGCACGAAAGCGUGGGGAGCAAACAGGAUUAGAUACCCUGGUAGUCCACGCCCUAAACGAUGUCAACUAGCUGUUGGGGCCUUCGGGCCUUGGUAGCGCAGCUAACGCGUG